GGUCUUUUACGUCGGCCUUCGCGAGCGUCUGGGCGGGUGGUAGGUGAGUGGGUAUUGCGGGCUAGUAUCCGAGCAAAAGAUGGUGGCGCAGGCCGAGUUAAGAGCUUUAAUCCUGUGAAGACAUCUUAGUGAAGAGUUUAGAGUGCUGAGAGUUGAAAGCUUGCACGUGGGAAACGUGCGGCCGGACUGCCACAUGUACUGAGGUUGAGUCGUGACGGCCACAGGCUCCGAGUUUUGGCGUGAGGAACCGCUGAUCGGCCACGGGCGCCGAACUUGCUGGCCUCCGGCAUGUGCCUGAGCGGCGGCGGAAAAACCACCUUAAUUGGGGCGGAGGGUUAGUUUUAACAGCAAAGGGCCUUUACUAAAAUGGCGAAGGCCUUCCGUCGGCGUUGUUUUAAAAUGGGAAGCCUCGACCCUGUAUUGAAACUGAGCUGUUCGAAGGCGGCGUUGUGUGCAAUUCGGAUUAAUGAAGGGGAAGGGUUUUGUGUGGAAAAACGCCUUGGAGUGUGACAUUUCUGCGAGAAUGCUUAAAUACCGAUUUCCCGCAGGAACAAUGGCGCUGUCUUCAGUGGCACAGUGGAGCAGCUCUGAAGAUGCAAAGGUAAGAGCUUAGUUAAGCUUAGUUUCCAAACUAAAGGAGUAAACCUGUUGAUUUACAGGAAUAGGAACUGUUGCAUCGUUUGAAAUUUACUUUUUUUUGUUAGAUACACGAAAAAACUUCCAGAACAUCUGGGAGAAUAUUUAAUGGAAAAUCGCUUGGUUAAAACCUGACACUUUUAACAGUGAACAGCGUUCUGAGUGUGGACGAGUAGCCAGUGAAGAUAAUGAAUGUCGAAUGUGACUGACUAGCAGCUUCAUUUUGAAGUAGGUUGUAUGGCUUAAAAGUUCUGUAGUAUUUGUACUAUAAUACUUGCCUUUUAGCAUUACCUUGGUUUGUAGUCAGUGUCACAGAAGUGCAGUUUAAUGUAUUAUGUGUACAUAUACAAGGUCUGAUUGGUCUAAUCAAUGAUGAAACCUAUCCCGAAGCUGAUAACCUGAAGAAAAAUAAGUACGGAUUCGGCUUCUGAGAUUAAGACCAGUAAUUCAGAGGUGGAGUAAAUUUUGUUGCCGUGAUUUUAUAACAGUUGUGUUAUAAAAUCCUGGGUUUUUUUUUUUUCUGCCAACAGUGAGGGUCGCUGUCUGCCCAUUGAUAGAGGCCAGAUUGUCUUGGAAGUUCCAAAGUUGCAACGAUUUCUGGCUAGUGCCACGAGGUUUACUUGACUGUUGUGUGAAAAGCUGAUAAGAAAACCAUCCAGAAAAAAGCUCUUCGUUUUACAAACAUGAAAAUAAAACAUGUAAUUUUGGA
RNAcentral lists this long non-coding RNA (1345 nucleotides) under Homo sapiens (human). RNAcentral's name for it is "small nucleolar RNA host gene 5". The stretch from base 1001 to 1070 matches the Rfam family "Small nucleolar RNA SNORD50". The record is from RNAcentral. Lineage: Eukaryota; Metazoa; Chordata; Mammalia; Primates; Hominidae.